Molecule: non-coding RNA, 26 nt
Filed under: Drosophila erecta
Lineage: Eukaryota; Metazoa; Arthropoda; Insecta; Diptera; Drosophilidae
Also listed under: 2 other names
Source: RNAcentral
GAGGUAUUAAAUCCUACCGCUGCCGA